AAUGUCGUAACAAGGUUUCCGUAGGUGAACCUGCGGAAGGAUCAUUAGUGAUUGCCCGUAGUGGCUUAAAAUCUAUAUCCAUUUACACCUGUGAACCGUUUGAUUGGCACUCUGUGUUGGAUUUUGACAAAUCAAUAUGUAAACGAAAUGUCAAGUCAUUAUACAAAAAAUUAA
RNAcentral lists this unclassified non-coding RNA (174 nucleotides) under plant metagenome. RNAcentral's name for it is "partial contains small subunit ribosomal RNA and internal transcribed spacer 1". The stretch from base 1 to 47 matches the Rfam family "Eukaryotic small subunit ribosomal RNA", at positions 1785 to 1831 of the family's 1831-position model. The record is from RNAcentral.